GACGAACGCUGGCGGCGUGCUUAACACAUGCAAGUCGAACGGAAAGGCCCUGCCUUUGUGGGGUGCGCGAGUGGCGAACGGGUGAGUAACACGUGGGUAAACUGCCCUUGACUUUGGGAUAACUUCAGGAAACUGGGGCUAAUCCCGGAUAGGAGCUCGUGCUGCAUGGUGGGGGUUGGAAAGUUUCGGCGGUUGGGGAUGGACUCGCGGCUUAUCAGCUUGUUGGUGGGGUAGUGGCUUACCAAGGCUUUGACGGGUCGCCGGCCUGAGAGGGUGACCGGCCACAUUGCGACUGAGAUACGGCCCAGACUCCUACGGGAGGCAGCAGUGGGGAAUAUUGCACAAUGGUCGGAAGCCUGAUGCAGCAACGCCGCGUGCGGGAUGACGGCCUUCGGGUUGUAAACCGCUUGCGCCUGUGACGAAGCGUGAGUGACGGUAAUGGGUAAAGAAGCACCGGCUAACUACGUG
RNAcentral lists this ribosomal RNA (468 nucleotides) under uncultured bacterium. RNAcentral's name for it is "partial 16S ribosomal RNA". It matches the Rfam family "Bacterial small subunit ribosomal RNA", at positions 28 to 507 of the family's 1533-position model. The record is from RNAcentral.